Long non-coding RNA from Neogale vison (American mink), 998 nucleotides. RefSeq lists it as uncharacterized. The transcript is spliced from 2 exons. The record is from RefSeq and is a predicted model, not a curated record. NCBI's taxonomy places the organism in Eukaryota, Metazoa, Chordata, Mammalia, Carnivora, Mustelidae.
CCCAUGCCGGUGCCCUGUGCGGCGGCUACUCGGGUUUCCUGCUCCACGGCCAGCCUGAGACGAACCCCGCUAUGAGGGAAGGUCUCAGAACUUCCUCCAGUCUUCUAGCUAGCUUUCUGGAUAUAUUCUGCAUCUUGUUGUCCAGACACCUGCCCUGGGUUAUUCUAAGGAGGACCCAUCCCCACCAGAGCAGAAAGAAACAGUCUCCAGUCAUCUGGUCUCUCCCACACAUCUGCCUGGUAAGGUUCCUCUCCCCCUCCCCCAAGCCCAGUCUUCAGGGCCUUCCUGCAUCUUCCACGCAGAACAGUGGCAACCCCAGCAGGGCUCCCUUGCUGAUACCCAAGCCUGCAUCACAAACCAUCACAAGCUGAAAAACCACAACAGCACUGUUUUUUUCUCAAGGGCAGAGCUCAUCUCUCCUCCGCUUUCCUUGACAAAAGCUGGGUUGCUCGAAGCCUGGGGACUGGAGUCCUGUAGAGGCUCCCCAGAUGGAGCCCAGGCCAGGAGGACUCAGUCCCCAGGAGGAUGAGCAACGGGAGCCCCAUCGCUAUCUCUGUCUCUUAUGGUGCCUCCACACCAUCUCUCCAGCAUGGUGACUUCUGGGUCACCACAUUUCUUAAUAGCAGCCCAGGGAUCCCAAGUUGCCCGUCCCAGAAGAACCUGAAAGAAGCCACGUCACCUCUUAGGACCUAGCCUUGGAAGUCAUGCAGGAUUACUUCUGGCACAUUCUAUUCCUUGAGGUAGUCUCAAAGUUCCACCCAGGCUGAAGGGAGGUGAAAUGGGGAAGGAUAGUGCUCUGUAAGAGCAUGCAGGACUAUUUUUAGGAACUAGAACCCCCACCCCUCUGCUUCGUGGAUCCCGCUGUGUGCCAGGCCUUGCGCCUGUCACUUUGCUAUCUACAUUACCUGGACAGACGUGUUAGCAAUGCCGGUGUAUCUGUAACAUCUUACCAAGUCCUUUCCUCUCCUGAGUCCUUAUUACCUGCAUAUGCAAACGUU